UACGGGGGGGGCAAGCGUUGUUCGGAAUUACUGGGCGUAAAGGGCUCGUAGGCGGCCAACUAAGUCGGAUGUGAAAUCCCCAGGCUUAACCCGGGAACUGCAUCCGAUACUGGAUGGCUUGAAUCCGGGAGAGGGAUGCAGAAUUCCAGGUGUAGCGGUGAAAUGCGUAGAUAUCUGGAGGAAUACCGGUGGCGAAGGCGGCAUCCUGGACCGGCAUUGACGCUGAGUGAGCGAAAGCCAGGGGAGCAAACGGG
RNAcentral lists this ribosomal RNA (254 nucleotides) under uncultured bacterium. RNAcentral's name for it is "partial 16S ribosomal RNA". It matches the Rfam family "Bacterial small subunit ribosomal RNA", at positions 524 to 776 of the family's 1533-position model. The record is from RNAcentral.